CUUCACCGAACCCAGCCACAGGGGAUUGUCGUCCUGGUGCUCCCGGCCGUAGGUCGCGAGCACGGCCUGCGCCUC
This is an antisense RNA of 75 nucleotides. It matches the Rfam family "ASpks TB sRNA".